Long non-coding RNA from Macrosteles quadrilineatus (aster leafhopper), 611 nucleotides. RefSeq lists it as uncharacterized. The record is from RefSeq and is a predicted model, not a curated record. The transcript is spliced from 2 exons. Lineage: Eukaryota; Metazoa; Arthropoda; Insecta; Hemiptera; Cicadellidae.
CGUUUCUUUUUCUAAAUGCUGGGCCCAAAUACACUACUUUACUUCUUUGCAUUUGCCCGAUUUCGAGCAACAUGUAGGCUAGGCCUACACUAGUUUAUUAUAAAUGAAGGUCCUAUAAUCUAAGCUUCUUACAAACAGAUUUGUAAACUUAAACUUUUCUGCCAUCCUUGUUGAAAAUAAUAACAUACCGUACUUUUAAACAAAAAAGCUUUUUAUAAAACACCAGACUUGUUAAACUAAUAUAAUAGUAAUAGAGGUUGAAGAGUUAAGCAUUUUUAUAAUGUGUUUCAGGUCAGUUAUCUUCGCACGGUUGGCGGGGCCAGUGUUGAGGACUCAACAAGACGGAUCCUUGUAAGACUAUUCAAAAAUGAGCUUGCGAGAGAAUUUAGUUGGGAAGGAAGAGGAGGAAAGAAGUGGAGUCUGCAGAACUCUGCAUCGGUGCAGUUGAUUUGCUGUGUAGUUCGUCAACAACACCCGUCCUCAUUCGAUCUCACAACGUUUGAGAAAAAAACCAGCGAAUGGUUACGCCAAGCAGGAACAAGGAUUUAUGUCAAAAAUAAAAAUUUAGGCCUACCGCAGAUGAUCAAUUAAAUAGUUUUUUCUUGACAUUU